RNAcentral lists this ribosomal RNA (459 nucleotides) under uncultured bacterium. Its description in RNAcentral is "partial 16S ribosomal RNA". It matches the Rfam family "Bacterial small subunit ribosomal RNA", at positions 338 to 795 of the family's 1533-position model. The record is from RNAcentral.
CCUACGGGAGGCAGCAGUGAGGAAUAUUGGUCAAUGGACGAGAGUCUGAACCAGCCAAGUAGCGUGAAGGAUGACUGCCCUAUGGGUUGUAAACUUCUUUUAUAUGGGAAUAAAAUGUUCCACGUGUGGGAUUUUGUAUGUACCAUAUGAAUAAGGAUCGGCUAACUCCGUGCCAGCAGCCGCGGUAAUACGGAGGAUCCGAGCGUUAUCCGGAUUUAUUGGGUUUAAAGGGAGCGUAGGUGGAUUGCCAAGUCAGCGGGAAAAUCGCGGGGCUAAACCUAGAUCCGCAGUUGAAACUGGCGUUCUUGAGUGCGCGAGAGGUGUGCGGAAUGCGUGGUGUAGCGGUGAAAUGCAUAGAUAUCACGCAGAACUCCGAUUGCGAAGGCAGCAUACCGGCGCCCAACUGACGCUGAAGCACGAAAGCGUGGGUAUCGAACAGGAUUAGAUACCCUUGUAGUC